RNAcentral lists this non-coding RNA (993 nucleotides) under Batrachostomus cornutus. Its description in RNAcentral is "12S ribosomal RNA". It matches the Rfam family "Bacterial small subunit ribosomal RNA". The record is from RNAcentral. Lineage: Eukaryota; Metazoa; Chordata; Aves; Caprimulgiformes; Batrachostomatidae.
AAAAGACUCAGUCCUAACCUUACCGUUAGUUCUUGCUAAACAUAUACAUGCAAGUAUCCGCGCCCCAGUGCAAAUGCCCUCAACCCUUCCAACCACCAAAGCAAGAGGAGCAGACAUCAGGCACACCCACCCAUCGCAGCCCAAGACGUCUUGCCUCGCCACACCCCCACGGACACCCAGCAGUAAUUAACAUUAAGCAAUAAGUGUAAACUCGACUUAGUUAUGGCAACUAACCCAGGGUCGGUAAAUCUUGUGCCAGCCACCGCGGCCAUACAAGAGACCCAAAUCAACCGUACUAAACGGCGUAAAGAGUGGUACCUCAAUAUCAAACCACCCUACAGUCAAAACAUGUCCAGGCUGUCAUAAGCCCACGACACUCAUAAGACCACCCCACAAAAUGACUAUAGCCCGCACGAUCAAUCAAACCCCACGAAAGCUAGGACACAAACUGGGAUUAGAUACCCCACUAUGCUUAGCCCUAAAUCCAAGUACUUACCCCACUAAAGUACUCGCCUGAGCACUACGAGCGCAAACGCUUAAAACUCUAAGGACUUGGCGGUGCUUCAAACCCACCUAGAGGAGCCUGUUCUAUAAUCGAUAACCCACGAUAGACCCAACCACCUCUUGCCAAACCAGCCUACAUACCGCCGUCUCCAGUUUACCUUCACUGAAAGCAUAACAGUAAAUACAAUAGCCCCCCAACCGCUAACAAGACAGGUCAAGGUAUAGCCCAUGAGGCGGAAGAAAUGGGCUACAUUUUCUAACAUAGACAAUACUUCAACGAAAAGAGAGGUGAAACCCUCCCUAGAAGGCGGAUUUAGCAGUAAAGAGGAACAUCAGCAAGCUCCCUUUAAACAAGCCCUGAAGCACGUACAUACCGCCCGUCACCCUCCUCACAAGCUACUAUCACCCCAUUCAUAAUUCCCCACCCACAGCCAACAGAAGAGGCAAGUCGUAACAAGGUAAGUGUACCGGAAGGUGCACUUAGCAUAC